RNAcentral lists this ribosomal RNA (849 nucleotides) under Pseudomonas aeruginosa. Its description in RNAcentral is "bacterial SSU rRNA". It matches the Rfam family "Bacterial small subunit ribosomal RNA", at positions 47 to 890 of the family's 1533-position model. Lineage: Bacteria; Pseudomonadati; Pseudomonadota; Gammaproteobacteria; Pseudomonadales; Pseudomonadaceae. The record is from RNAcentral.
CAGCUACACAUGCAAGUCGAGCGGAUGAAGGGAGCUUGCUCCUGGAUUCAGCGGCGGACGGGUGAGUAAUGCCUAGGAAUCUGCCUGGUAGUGGGGGAUAACGUCCGGAAACGGGCGCUAAUACCGCAUACGUCCUGAGGGAGAAAGUGGGGGAUCUUCGGACCUCACGCUAUCAGAUGAGCCUAGGUCGGAUUAGCUAGUUGGUGGGGUAAAGGCCUACCAAGGCGACGAUCCGUAACUGGUCUGAGAGGAUGAUCAGUCACACUGGAACUGAGACACGGUCCAGACUCCUACGGGAGGCAGCAGUGGGGAAUAUUGGACAAUGGGCGAAAGCCUGAUCCAGCCAUGCCGCGUGUGUGAAGAAGGUCUUCGGAUUGUAAAGCACUUUAAGUUGGGAGGAAGGGCAGUAAGUUAAUACCUUGCUGUUUUGACGUUACCAACAGAAUAAGCACCGGCUAACUUCGUGCCAGCAGCCGCGGUAAUACGAAGGGUGCAAGCGUUAAUCGGAAUUACUGGGCGUAAAGCGCGCGUAGGUGGUUCAGCAAGUUGGAUGUGAAAUCCCCGGGCUCAACCUGGGAACUGCAUCCAAAACUACUGAGCUAGAGUACGGUAGAGGGUGGUGGAAUUUCCUGUGUAGCGGUGAAAUGCGUAGAUAUAGGAAGGAACACCAGUGGCGAAGGCGACCACCUGGACUGAUACUGACACUGAGGUGCGAAAGCGUGGGGAGCAAACAGGAUUAGAUACCCUGGUAGUCCACGCCGUACACGAUGUCGACUAGCCGUUGGGAUCCUUGAGAUCUUAGUGGCGCAGCUAACGCGAUAAGUCGACCGCCUGUGGAGUACGGCCGCA